CCUACGGGAGACAGCAGUGGGGAAUAUUGGGCAAUGGGCGCAAGCCUGACCCAGCAAGGCCGCGUGAAGGAAGAAGGCUUUCGGGUUGUAAACUUCUUUUCUGAGGGACGAAGAAAGUGACGGUACCUCAGGAAUAAGCCACGGUGAACUACGUGCCAGCAGCCGCGGUAAUACGUAGGUGGCAAGCGUUAUCCGGAUUUAUUGGGUGUAAGGGGCGUGUAGGCGGGAAAGCAAGUCAGAUGUGAAAACUCAGGGCUCAACCCUGAGACUGCAUUUGAAACUGUUUUUCUUGAGUGCUUGAGAGGCAAUCGGAAUUCCGUGUGUAGCGGUGAAAUGCGUAGAUAUACGGAGGAACACCAGUGGCGAAGGCGGAUUGCUGGACAGUAACUGACGCUGAGGCGCGAAAGCGUGGGGAGCAAACAGGAUUAGAUACCCCUGUAGUC
RNAcentral lists this ribosomal RNA (443 nucleotides) under uncultured bacterium. RNAcentral describes it as "partial 16S ribosomal RNA". It matches the Rfam family "Bacterial small subunit ribosomal RNA", at positions 338 to 795 of the family's 1533-position model. The record is from RNAcentral.